CCUACGGGUGGCAGCAGUGAGGAAUAUUGGUCAAUGGCCGGAAGGCUGAACCAGCCAAGCCGCGUGAGGGAGGAAGGCGCUACGGGUUGUAAACCUCUUUUGCCGGGGGGCAAAGAGCCGGACUCGUCCCGCCUCGAGAGUACCCGGAGAAAAAGCAUCGGCUAACUCCGUGCCAGCAGCCGCGGUAAUACGGAGGAUGCGAGCGUUAUCCGGAUUUAUUGGGUUUAAAGGGUGCGUAGGCGGGCUUUUAAGCCAGCGGUAAAAUGGCGGGGCUCAACCCCGCCCGGCCGUUGAAACUGGGGGCCUUGAGUGCGGCGGAGGAAGGCGGAAUGCGUGGUGUAGCGGUGAAAUGCAUAGAUAUCGCGCAGAACCCCGAUUGCGAAGGCAGCGUUCCGUGGCGCUACUGACGCUGAGGCACGAAAGUGCGGGGAUCGAACAGGAUUAGAUACCCUGGUAGUC
Molecule: ribosomal RNA, 459 nt
Filed under: uncultured bacterium
Lineage: Bacteria
Description: partial 16S ribosomal RNA
Rfam family: Bacterial small subunit ribosomal RNA
Source: RNAcentral